GGGGCUAUAGCUUAACGGUAAAGCAGGCCAUUCAUGAUGGCUGGAUUAGGGUUCAAUUCCUUAUAGCCUUA
Molecule: transfer RNA, 71 nt
Organism: Taphrina deformans PYCC 5710
Lineage: Eukaryota; Fungi; Ascomycota; Taphrinomycetes; Taphrinales; Taphrinaceae
Rfam family: tRNA
About the family: Transfer RNA (tRNA) molecules are approximately 80 nucleotides in length. Their secondary structure includes four short double-helical elements and three loops (D, anti-codon, and T loops).
Source: Rfam